CCUACGGGAGGCAGCAGUAGGGAAUUUUCGUCAAUGGGCGCAAGCCUGAACGAGCGAUGCCGCGUGAGUGAAGAAUGCCUUCGGGUCGUAAAGCUCUGUUGAGGGGGAAAAAAGGUAGCAUCAGUAAAUGGGUGCUGCCUGAUGGUGCCACGCCAGAAAGUCACGGCUAACUACGUGCCAGCAGCCGCGGUAAUCCGUAGGUGGCGCGCGUUAUCCGGAAUGAUUGGGCUGAAAGGGUGCGCAGGCGGUUCUGCAAGUCUGGAGUGAAACGGAUGAGCUCAACUCAUGCAUUGCAUUGGAAACUGGAGGACUGGAGAGCAGGAGAGGGCGGUGGAACUCCAGGUGUAGCGGUAAAAUGCGUAGAUAUAUGGAGGAACAUCAGUGGCGAAGGCGACUAUCUGGCACAUAACUGACGCUGAGGAGCGAAAGCGUGGGUAGCAAACAGGAUUAGAUACCCUGGUAGUC
This 465-nucleotide ribosomal RNA is filed under the name uncultured bacterium. RNAcentral's name for it is "partial 16S ribosomal RNA". It matches the Rfam family "Bacterial small subunit ribosomal RNA", at positions 338 to 795 of the family's 1533-position model. The record is from RNAcentral.